Molecule: small nuclear RNA, 103 nt
Organism: Phyllostomus hastatus (greater spear-nosed bat)
Lineage: Eukaryota; Metazoa; Chordata; Mammalia; Chiroptera; Phyllostomidae
Source: RefSeq, a predicted model, not a curated record
GUGUUUUGGCAGCACAUAUACUAAAACUGGAAGGAUACAGGGAGGAUUAGCAAGGCUCCUGAGCAAGGACGACACCCACAUUUAUGAAGUGUUCCAUAAAAAA